This 64-nucleotide transfer RNA is filed under the name unidentified. Its description in RNAcentral is "Oreta sp. tRNA-His". The record is from RNAcentral.
ACUUAAAUAAUUUAAAUAAAAUAUUGAUUUGUGGAGUCAAAUAUAUGAGUAUUCAUUUUAAGUC